RNAcentral lists this ribosomal RNA (248 nucleotides) under uncultured bacterium. RNAcentral's name for it is "partial 16S ribosomal RNA". It matches the Rfam family "Bacterial small subunit ribosomal RNA", at positions 524 to 770 of the family's 1533-position model. The record is from RNAcentral.
UACAGAGGGGGCAAGCGUUGUUCGGAAUUACUGGGCGUAAAGGCGCGUAGGCGGCCUGUUAAGUCGAACGUGAAAUCCCCGGGCUCAACCCGGGAACUGCGUCCGAUACUGGCAGGCUUGAAUCCGGGAGAGGGAUGCGGAAUUCCAGGUGUAGCGGUGAAAUGCCUAGAUAUCUGGAGGAACACCGGUGGCGAAGGCGGCAUCCUGGGACCGGCAUUGACGCUGAGGCGCGAAAGCCAGGGGGAGCA